AUGCAUAGGCAAACCCUAGCGCCCACUUUCCCCUCCCCUCACUCGUUCUCUUCUUCGCAUCGCGCAGCCGCUCGCUACCGUCGCUGUUGCCAUGGCCAUCGGCUGCCCCGCGCCGCACCGCCGAGUCCCGGAGAACCCCCGACGUCCGCUGCUUCAUCCCCGACCACGCGUACGAGCCGGGAGCCGCCACACCGUCGGGAUCGAGUGCUUCUCCACGUUCGGCCCCGCCACUGCUUUGCCGUCGUCGUCGUCGAUCUACACCACCACGACCUCCCCGGCCUCCCCGACCACGCCGUCGCGCUCACAGUGAGGCCGUCCGCCGAUCCCCCCUUUUCCCCCUUCGAUUUGGACGCCGUAGGCCGCCAUCACCGUCGUGCCCGAACCCCUGCGUACGCGUGCGUGCGGCUGCCGCUCCUGCGCUGUUGGUGCCGCUGCUGUGCGCGCGCGUCCACCCAUAGCCUCGCCGCGGCUUGCUGCUGCUCGCCAACCACUGUGGCUGCUCGCUGCUUCACUGCUCUGCUCGCUGCACCUGCUGCUGCGCUGUUUCGGCUGCUGCUCCCGCCUCCCGGCCGUGCGCCCUCACCUGUUGCCGCUGGUACUGCUCCUUGCUACUAG
Molecule: ribosomal RNA, 615 nt
Filed under: Triticum aestivum (bread wheat)
Lineage: Eukaryota; Viridiplantae; Streptophyta; Magnoliopsida; Poales; Poaceae
Description: partial small subunit ribosomal RNA
Source: RNAcentral